Molecule: long non-coding RNA, 765 nt
Filed under: Salmo salar (Atlantic salmon)
Lineage: Eukaryota; Metazoa; Chordata; Actinopteri; Salmoniformes; Salmonidae
Description: lncRNA (ENSSSAG00000098017.1)
Source: RNAcentral
AGGAGAGGAAAGGGGAGGAAAUAGGAGAGGGGGGAGAAGGGGAGAGGAGAGGGGGGAGAAGAGGAGAGGAAAGACUAGAGGGGGAGAAGGGGAGAAGGGGAGAAGAGGAGAGGGGGAGAAAAGAGGAGAGAGAGAAGAGGAGGAUGGGAGAAGGGGAGAGGAGGUACUGUUUGUCUCCGACCGUUCCACUCAGAGGACUCUACCUUCUGUUAUCAAUCCUGCGUCUGUGACACCAGAUUGCCACCUAGUGGCCAUAAGAGGAACUGUCCUGUCAGUGUGUUUUCACUGCUGGCUCAAAACAACACAUGACCUGCAUACAUGAUAUGACUCGUACUACUGCACUACUUCUGAAGAAGACCAGAGUCAUUUCAGAAUGAAGACUGCUAUAGUUCUGAUGGUGUUGCUGUUCUGUCUGUCUGGGGCCUGGACUCAGGGAGAGAGUGGAGGGGUGACUAGUAGGUCUGUCUGUCUGUCUGUCUGUCUGUCUGUCUGUCUGUCUGUCUGUCUGUCUGUCUGUCUGUCUGUCUGUCUGUCUGUCUGUCUGUCUGUCUGUCUGUCUGUCUGUCUGUCUGUCUGUCUGUCUGCACUAUAUACACCAAAUCAACAAAAGUAUGUGGACACCUGCUCGUCAAACAUCUCAUUCCAAAAUCAUGGGCAUUUGCAUGGAGUUGGUCCCCCUUUUUGCUGCUAUAACAGCCUCCGCUCUUCUGGGAAGGCUUUCCACUAGAUUUUGGAACAUUGCUGCUGGGACUUGCUUCCAUUCAG